Non-coding RNA from Myxococcus stipitatus DSM 14675, 74 nucleotides. The record is from Rfam. Lineage: Bacteria; Pseudomonadati; Myxococcota; Myxococcia; Myxococcales; Myxococcaceae.
GCCCCUGUAGCUCAGCUGGCAGCAGCGCUGGUUUCGUAAACCAGAGGUCGUCGGUUCGAACCCGACCGGGGGCA